RNAcentral lists this ribosomal RNA (497 nucleotides) under uncultured bacterium. RNAcentral describes it as "partial 16S ribosomal RNA". It matches the Rfam family "Bacterial small subunit ribosomal RNA", at positions 28 to 507 of the family's 1533-position model. The record is from RNAcentral.
GAUGAACGCUGGCGGCGUGCCUAAUACAUGCAAGUCGAGCGAACAGACGAGGAGCUUGCUCCUCUGACGUUAGCGGCGGACGGGUGAGUAACACGUGGAUAACCUACCUAUAAGACUGGGAUAACUUCGGGAAACCGGAGCUAAUACCGGAUAACAUGUUGAACCGCAUGGUUCAACAGUGAAAGACGGUCUUGCUGUCACUUAUAGAUGGAUCCGCGCCGCAUUAGCUAGUUGGUAAGGUAACGGCUUACCAAGGCAACGAUGCGUAGCCGACCUGAGAGGGUGAUCGGCCACACUGGAGCUGAGACACGGUCCAGACUCCUACGGGAGGCAGCAGUAGGGAAUCUUCCGCAAUGGGCGAAAGCCUGACGGAGCAACGCCGCGUGAGUGAAGAAGGUCUUCGGAUCGUAAAACUCUGUUAUUAGGGAAGAACAAAUGUGUAAGUAACUAUGCACGUCUUGACGGUACCUAAUCAGAAAGCCACGGCUAACUACGUG